GGUAGUGUAUUGGACUACCAAGUCGAUCACGGGUAACGGAGAAUUAGGGUUCGAUUCCGGAGAGGGAGCCUGAGAAACGGCUACCACAGCUACGGUAGGCAGCAGGUGCGUAAAUUACCCAAUCCAAAAUCUGGAAGGUAGUUACAGGAAAUUUGUUGCAUAGGCUUCUAGCCUAGACACAAACGAACACAUGUACGUAUUGUGUGUUUAAUUGGAGGGCAAGUUUUGGUGCCGGCAGCCGCGGUAAUUCCAGCUCCAAUAGCGUAUAUUAAAGUUGUUGCAGUUGAAAAGCUCGUAGUUGGAUUUCUGAGGGGGUGCCAAUGUCCGCUCGUUGCGUGUGCAGCGGCGCCCCCUCAUCCUUCUGUUAACGUUUCUGAUAUUCACUUAUUGGUCUCGGGCUCAGAUAUUUUACCUUGAGAAAAUUAGAGUGUUCCAGGCAGGCUCGCGCCGGAAUACAUUAGCAUGGAAUAAUAGAAUAGGACUUUAGUCUCCUUUGUUGGUUUGAGGGACUGAAGUAAUGAUUAAUAGGGAUAGUUGGGGGCAUUAGUAUUUAAUUGUCAGAGGUGAAAUUCUCGGAUUUGUUAAAGACUAACUUAUGCGAAAGCAUUUGCCAAGGAUGUUUUCA
Molecule: ribosomal RNA, 625 nt
Filed under: uncultured ciliate
Lineage: Eukaryota; Ciliophora
Description: bacterial SSU rRNA
Rfam family: Eukaryotic small subunit ribosomal RNA
Source: RNAcentral